GAUGAACGCUAGCGGCAGGCUUAAUACAUGCAAGUCGUGGGGCAGCACAGGUAGCAAUACUGGGUGGCGACCGGCAAACGGGUGAGGAACAUGUACGCAACCUUCCUUUAACUGGAGAAUAGCCCCUCGAAAGAGGGAUUAAUACUCCGUAACAUUUCGAUACAGCAUUGUAUUGAAAUUAUAGCUCCGGCGGUUAAAGAUGGGCGUGCACCUGAUUAGAUAGUUGGCGGGGUAACGCCCACCAAGUCUGCGAUCAGUAACUGGUGUGAGAGCACGACCAGUCACACGGGGCACUGAGACACGGGUCCGACUCCUACGGGAGGCAGCAGUAAGGAAUAUUGGCCAAUGGGACGCAAGUCUGAACCAGCCAUGCCGCGUGGAGGAUUAAGGCCCUCUGGGUUGUAAACUCCUUUUA
This 415-nucleotide ribosomal RNA is filed under the name uncultured bacterium. RNAcentral describes it as "bacterial SSU rRNA". It matches the Rfam family "Bacterial small subunit ribosomal RNA", at positions 28 to 438 of the family's 1533-position model. The record is from RNAcentral.